This 253-nucleotide ribosomal RNA is filed under the name uncultured bacterium. RNAcentral describes it as "partial 16S ribosomal RNA". It matches the Rfam family "Bacterial small subunit ribosomal RNA", at positions 524 to 776 of the family's 1533-position model. The record is from RNAcentral.
UACAGAGGUCUCAAGCGUUGUUCGGAUUCAUUGGGCGUAAAGGGUGCGUAGGCGGCGCGGUAAGUCGGGUGUGAAAUCUCGGAGCUUAACUCCGAAACUGCAUUCGAUACUGCCGUGCUUGAGGACUGGAGAGGAGAUUGGAAUUUACGGUGUAGCGGUGAAAUGCGUAGAUAUCGUAAGGAAGACCAGUGGCGAAGGCGGGUCUCUGGACAGUUCCUGACGCUGAGGAGCGAAAGCCAGGGGAGCAAACGGG